This 2854-nucleotide long non-coding RNA is filed under the name Sorghum bicolor (sorghum). RNAcentral's name for it is "long non-coding RNA (SBIC_LNC007403)". Lineage: Eukaryota; Viridiplantae; Streptophyta; Magnoliopsida; Poales; Poaceae. The record is from RNAcentral.
UUUGCUUGCUUUGCCUCUACUAGUGUCUGUUGCUUGCUUUGCGUAGGAGUAUUAGGCUGCUGCUGCCUGCUGAAGCAUUUCUGAUGAUAGCCCCGGGAACAGCUCUCCACUGAUAGCACUUGUACUAGCAGUAGAGAGAAACUGCUUCAAUUCUCAGGAUCUUUUUCUUUUUCAACAAGAAUAAAGUGACGGAUGGAUACGUUUCGUGCAUCAUUCAUAUAUAUAGGAUAAUAACCAUCUUGUUUGAAAGUUGGAACCAUUCUAGGGUUACUUAUUAUUACUAGCCUGUUGCAAUGGCAUCCACUGAAUGAUUUUUUUGGUUUUAUAGGCUGUGGCGGUAUGGAAUCAUGACCUUGGAUCCCGCAGGAGGUAUAGCUGUGCUGUGACAACCCACACCCAGCUUUGGUUCAGUCUUCAGUGUGCAGUGCGUAUGUAGUAUGAUGUUUGGCACACAGCCACAGUGGCACAUACACGCACACACUCCCAUUCCUUGAAGAUGGCACACGUCCAAGAGGAGUCAGGCAGGCACACUGUGGCCUGUGGUGACUGCCUGACUGGUGAGAGAGGAGGGAAGGAGAGGAAGCAGCAGCAGCUAGGUUGGCAAGACAGACAUGGGGAGCUGUUGAGACUUGAGACCAGAGCGGAGAGGUGGUGGUGUGACCUUGGGCUUGCUAUGCUCACAUGAGAAAGAUCAGAAGGGGUGCAAUAAUAUAAAGGCAGUGCAUGUGAUGGCGAUUGGCGAGAUUGGUGCUCCCUGCUCCUCCAGGAAACACUCCUCGUCAGUCUCCCCCCGGCAUCAGUUACCAUAAUUAAAGGCCGAAACACCUAGCUGUACGUGAGCCUAUGGUGUUUAUCCAAUCAAGAAGGCAAGCAGCAUGAUAGUAUGAAAGAGAUUAGUAGCUAUGGGGCAAAAAAAUAAAGGAAGAGUGGAUGCGAAUGAAUGAAUGAAUGGGAUGGAAGGCAGGAAAAGGAUGGAAAAGAAUGGAGACAAGGAUGGCAAUGUGAGCAACAGCAGAGUAGGUGGCUAAAGAACGAAGGAGGCAUGGCGAUGGCAUGGAGAAGUGUGAGCUUGGGGCCAAAGGAAAGGGGCGCGCUGGGCCGCUGGCUGGCUCUGACAGCACCCAUAUGCUGCUUUGGUUUGAGCACUGCAUUUAGUGGAGAAAGACACAACAGACACCGGUGCGCGUACGUCGGGGCGACGGCCAUGAUUCGUGAGAACUGUGAAAGCGCAUUAUUAGCACUAAGCAUGAGCCUGAUUGUACAGUUUGGCAGCCUUGUGCUAGUGCCCUGUUAUCUACUGUUGCUUACUAGAAUCUGUCGUCAGAAAUUGAAAGCCUCUGGAGUAUGGUACUGAACUGCUGCUGAAAGCGUCACGUAGACCGCCCAGGUAGAUGCUUCAAGGUGCUUUCAUAUCUUACUUAACCACUGUUGGGGUACAACUGUCAUGGUAUAUAUAACCACUGUUGGGGGUCAUGACAGUUGCAGAGUGUAUGCAUUUCUGCAAUUACCCAUUAUUGUAUUUGCAGGCGCGAGUGUAUCCGAUUCGGAUCCUCCCUCGUUUGAUAUUUCCCCUGUAGAAUUCGCAUGCCAAUGCCAGCAUCAAUAAUGUUCAGUUGGGUGGAGUGGAGUGGUCUCUGAACUGAAAGCAGGAAGACUGCAUGACAGGGGCCGGCCUUUGGCACCAGCUGCCCUGCCUCUGCCUGCCAAUUUGAAUGGGCAUAUCAUAUACAAUCCAGUUGCUGUUGCACCGUCCGCUCAUCGGCAUCGGCAUCGGCAUCGCACCUCCCCCUUGUGUGUUUCCUGCACUGCACCAAGGUCGCCGAGCCGUUGCUCCCCCCACUCACUCGAUCGCUUUUGUUCAGAUCUCUUUGGUCUCUUCUUUCCUUAAAGCAUGGGAGAAAAUAAAUACCCGCUGCUAAGCCUGCCGAGAGCAUGAGGUGGUGGGGUUUGGCGUGCCAUGGGAAUUCGGUUCUCCACACCACACCACACCACUGGUAGCUCCUUUGCUUGCUUGCUUGCCUGCCCAGUUGCCCUCUCUCUGACCAAUCUUGCUUACCAUGGACUACUAGCCAGCAUCUCUUUCUCCGGUUUGGUUUGGUUUGGGUUGGCUUUCAUGCCAUCUUUCUGGUAUUCAAGGAUGUCACAUGAAGCUUGCAUGCCCAUCCGAGCCGUGUGCCGUGCCGUGUUACGGUCCCCCACGGAGAACCGUGUUAAUGGCGCCUUUGGAUCUUUUGGAUGGCGAUGGGGGCAUUCUCAUGUCCUUUGCGAAUUGAUGAUUGCAUGCAUGCAUGCGGUGGUGAAACCGCAGCGGUAAUGCAUGGUAACUAGCAGUAAUGGUGUUGGUAUUAAUUUUGUGCUUGUGCAUCUGAACCCGGUCGGUUCGUGAUGAAGCCAACAGCAGCAGUAUGCCAGCAGUAUGUACAAAAAUGGGGGGCACUGUGUUUGUCACGUCUGCUAGCUAGUAGCUAGCUGCAUUAUUUGAUAUAUAUGUACCGUACAUACAUAAGGUCGUGUGUGUGCGUCGGCCAUGAUUGCAGCAUUCUCGCCAUUAUGUAUGUAGAAUAAAAAUCUUUCGGCUAGUGUUUGUGUCAUCCAUCAUACGAUACGACUGGCCGGACCGGACCGGCGCUAGCUAGCUGCUUGCGUUUUUCGUUGAGUGGUUUGCCAUCAGCUUCUCUCAGCGGAAAUAUUCACAAAAGUGCCGUGUCUUAUUGAGGCUGACAACCACCUCCAGUUGAGGCAUCCAACUCAUUUCUGAAUUCCCAACCCAACCCAACCCAACCCCAUGGUUGAUUUGAUUAAGUGGGAGGGCAGAUGCAAUAAGCAAUUCAGCUGCAGCCUGACACAGACUGUC